CCAGACUCCUACGGGAGGCAGCAGUGGGGGAUAUUGCACAAUGGGGGAAACCCUGACGCAGCGACGCCGCGUGAGUGAAGAAGUAUUUCAGUAUGUAAAGCUCUAUCAGCAGGGAAGAAAAUGACAGUACCUGACCAAGAAGCCCCGGCUAACUACGUGCCAGCAGCCGCGGUAAUACGUAGGGGGCAAGCGUUAUCCGGAUUUACUGGGUGUAAAGGGAGCGUAGACGGUUAUGUAAGUCUGGAGUGAAAGCCCGGGGCCCAACCCCGGGACUGCUUUGGAAACUGUGUAACUGGAGUACAGGAGGGGCAGGCGGAAUUCCUGGUGCAGCGGUGAAAUGCGUAGAUAUCAGGAGGAACACCAGUGGCGAAGGCGGCUUACUGGACUGUAACUGACGUUGAGGCUCGAAAGCGUGGGGAGCAAACAGGAUUAGAUACCCUUGUAG
RNAcentral lists this ribosomal RNA (445 nucleotides) under uncultured bacterium. RNAcentral describes it as "bacterial SSU rRNA". It matches the Rfam family "Bacterial small subunit ribosomal RNA", at positions 331 to 793 of the family's 1533-position model. The record is from RNAcentral.